This 681-nucleotide ribosomal RNA is filed under the name Stenotomus chrysops. RNAcentral describes it as "partial 12S ribosomal RNA". It matches the Rfam family "Bacterial small subunit ribosomal RNA", at positions 513 to 1502 of the family's 1533-position model. The record is from RNAcentral. Lineage: Eukaryota; Metazoa; Chordata; Actinopteri; Spariformes; Sparidae.
CACCGCGGUUAUACGGGAGGCCCAAGUUGUUAGAAGUCGGCGUAAAGGGUGGUUAAGAAUAAACUAAGAACUAAAGCCGAACGCCUUCCGGGCUGUUAUACGCAUCCGAAGGUAAGAAGUUCAAUUACGAAAGUAGCUUUAUAUUUUCUGAACCCACGAAAGCUGAGACACAAACUGGGAUUAGAUACCCCACUAUGCUUAGCCAUAAACAUUGACAGUCUACUACAUUUUCUGUCCGCCCGGGAACUACGAGCAUUAGCUUAAAACCCAAAGGACUUGGCGGUGCUUUAGACCCACCUAGAGGAGCCUGUUCUAGAACCGAUAAUCCCCGUUCAACCUCACCCUUCCUUGCUCAUUCCGCCUAUAUACCACCGUCGUCAGCUUACCCUGUGAAGGACGAAAAGUAAGCAAAACUGGCACCGCCCAGUACGUCAGGUCGAGGUGUAGCGAAUGGAAGGGGAAGAAAUGGGCUACAUUCCCUCAAGCAGCAGGGAACUACGAAUGAUGCACUGAAAACGUGCACCUGAAGGAGGAUUUAGCAGUAAGCGGAAAAUAGAGUGUUCCACUGAAGCCGGCUCUUAAGCGCGCACACACCGCCCGUCACUCUCCCCGAAACUUUACCUUCACAUUAACUAAAAUGCCAAAAUCAUAGAGGGGAGGCAAGUCGUAACAUGGUAAGUG